AGUGAACGCUGGCGGUAGGCCUAACACAUGCAAGUCGAACGGCAGCACAGUAAGAGCUUGCUCUUACGGGUGGCGAGUGGCGGACGGGUGAGGAAUACAUCGGAAUCUACUUUUUCGUGGGGGAUAACGUAGGGAAACUUACGCUAAUACCGCAUACGACCUACGGGUGAAAGCAGGGGAUCUUCGGACCUUGCGCGAUUGAAUGAGCCGAUGUCGGAUUAGCUAGUUGGCGGGGUAAAGGCCCACCAAGGCGACGAUCCGUAGCUGGUCUGAGAGGAUGAUCAGCCACACUGGACCUGAGACACGGUCCAGCCUCCUACGGGAGGCAGCAGUGGGGAAUAUUGGACAAUGGGCGCAAGCCUGAUCCAGCCAUACCGCGUGGGUGAAGAAGGCCUUCGGGUUGUAAAGCCCUUUUGUUGGGAAAGAAAAGCAGCAGGUUAACACCCCGCUGUUCUGACGGUACCCAAAGAAUAAGCACCGGCUAACUUCGU
Molecule: ribosomal RNA, 491 nt
Filed under: uncultured bacterium
Lineage: Bacteria
Description: partial 16S ribosomal RNA
Rfam family: Bacterial small subunit ribosomal RNA
Source: RNAcentral